RNAcentral lists this ribosomal RNA (460 nucleotides) under uncultured bacterium. RNAcentral's name for it is "partial 16S ribosomal RNA". It matches the Rfam family "Bacterial small subunit ribosomal RNA", at positions 338 to 795 of the family's 1533-position model. The record is from RNAcentral.
CCUACGGGUGGCAGCAGUGAGGAAUAUUGGUCAAUGGGCGUAAGCCUGAACCAGCCAAGUCGCGUGAGGGAUGAAGGUUCUAUGGAUUGUAAACCUCUUUUAUAAGGGAAUAAAGUGCGGGACGUGUCCCGUUUUGUAUGUACCUUAUGAAUAAGGAUCGGCUAACUCCGUGCCAGCAGCCGCGGUAAUACGGAGGAUCCGAGCGUUAUCCGGAUUUAUUGGGUUUAAAGGGUGCGUAGGCUGCCUUUUAAGUCAGCGGUGAAAGUUUGUGGCUCAACCAUAGAAUUGCCGUUGAAACUGGUAGUCUUGAGUAUGUUUGAGGCAGGCGGAAUGCGUGGUGUAGCGGUGAAAUGCUUAGAUAUCACGCAGAACCCCGAUUGCGAAGGCAGCCUACCAAGCCAUGACUGACGCUGAUGCACGAAAGCGUGGGGAUCAAACAGGAUUAGAUACCCGUGUAGUC